CCUACGGGAGGCUGCAGUGAGGAAUAUUGGUCAAUGGGCUUACGCCUGAACCAGCCAAGUCGCGUGAGGGAAGACUGCCCUAUGGGUUGUAAACCUCUUUUGUCAGGGAGCAACGCCGGCUACGUGUAGCCGGACGGAGAGUACCUGAAGGAAAAGCAUCGGCUAACUACGUGCCAGCAGCCGCGGUAAUACGGAGGAUGCGAGCGUUAUCCGGAUUUAUUGGGUUAAAGGGGUGCGUAGGCGGAAUGCCAAGUCAGCGGGAAAAUCGCGGGGCUCAACCUCGCUCCGCCGUUGAAACUGGCGUUCUGGAGUGGGCGAGAAGUAUGCGGAAUGCGUGGUGUAGCGGUGAAAUGCAUAGAUAUCACGCAGAACUCCGAUUGCGAAGGCAGCAUACCGGCGCCCAACUGACGCUGAGGCACGAAAGCGUGGGUAUCGAACAGGAUUAGAUACCCCUGUAGUC
Molecule: ribosomal RNA, 460 nt
Filed under: uncultured bacterium
Lineage: Bacteria
Description: partial 16S ribosomal RNA
Rfam family: Bacterial small subunit ribosomal RNA
Source: RNAcentral